GUAUUGCAACAGAUGUGAAAGCUACGCCCUUUAAAGGCUGACCGCUUAGGAACAUUGUCAGAAGGUUCACACUCCAAGAGAAUGUAUCCAAAGACUUCAGAAGAUCUCCAUUAUGACUGCCUAAGGCUUACCGACUUCGACAACUUAAAGGUCAUGGUUGUGUGCAGCCUAUGCAGUCAGCUGCCCAAGGAGACAUCCACAAUUCACCAAAAGAGUUAGAUGUGAGUUGUCAUGGAAAUGACGAGGUCAAACAGAAGUAAGAAAAGUUAAUGGAAGUCAUUCGAAAAGGCGAAUACGUACUGACUAAACCAAGAACUUCAUACAUGCAAUGGUGGAUUAUUCACUGCAUAUGAAGCAAUCCAGGUUAUGGACCAGUCAACCUGCAAAAAGAACGAAGCUUUUGGACCAUUCUGCAACGGAUCUCAAGUUACCCGAUGAUGUGCAAGGCAAGGAAACUGUAUGAAUCUGCCAUUUAUCUUGAACCUGAAAUUCUAAGAGCUGAACUGGCAAGGGGUGAUAUGCGUUUUGGUGAAUCCUGGAAUAAUCAAGAAUUUUUUCUACUUGAAAGAUAUUAGAGGCAAUAGGCAGAUGAUUCUCCACUCAUCAAGUUAGGUCACCUAUUUGCAGUAACAAAUCUGCUGUCCCAAUAUCAAUCUGCACUAAGGUUAAGGAAUAACUGAAGACAAGAAUGCUGGCAUGAGCAACGGUAUUAUUUUUCUCGCUUUAUUCAAAUGCUUGUUUACCUGAGAUCGUGCACAAAUUUAUUUGGUCACAUUCUAGCUCCCAUAUGUUUAGAUUAUUAUUUUGUCCCACCAGAGCCAUACGCAACAAAAACUGAACCAUCAUUUGUGCAAUCUGAAUAUUUAGUGAGCUUUGUUAAUUAUGUAUCCAUCUAGUCAGAAGCUCUUGAAAGCCAGUCACUCUUUUUGUAUCCUUCAAUUGCUACCCUCUGACACUCGUCAUCACAAUUCAUGCAUUGCAAUCUCGCAUAAGCCACUUGUACCAUUCUGACGCCGGUGUAUCCAUUCUCUUUGUAUAAGUCACUUCAUUCAUUUGUGCAUCAGUGUCAGCCUAUUAUAUAGGGUUUGCACACUUGUUAUUUUCCGAUAAAACUCAGUGGGAGAGUUCAUUUUAUGGUGUCCAGUCCCUUGGAAACAGAGUCAUCCAAUAGUUUAAAGCUCUUGAAAGCCAAUCAUUUCUUUUGUAUCAUUCCAUUGACUCCUUGGAUCAAUCCAUUGGUCUAUCCAUUAGACUAUUACGUAGAUUUUGCAUAUUGUUCCUCUUUGAUAUAUUCAUGAGGAUAUAUCAUUGAUGGCACUCAUCAUGCAUCGAAUUACUCCUAGCAGUCAUUUGUAAAUGGAGCCUGCCAUAUGUCGGCAACUCUAAAUAUAUACUAAACAGAAAAGAAAAAAAGAAACAAUGCUGGC
Molecule: long non-coding RNA, 1427 nt
Organism: Lolium rigidum
Lineage: Eukaryota; Viridiplantae; Streptophyta; Magnoliopsida; Poales; Poaceae
Exons: 6
Source: RefSeq, a predicted model, not a curated record